GCUCAGUAACACGUGGAUAAUCUACCCUUAGGACUGGGAUAACCUUGGGAAACUGAGGAUAAUACCGGAUAGGCAAUUAUUCCUGCAAUGGUUCUUUGUUUAAAUGUUUUUUCGCCUAAGGAUGAGUCUGCGGCCGAUUAGGUAGUUGGUUAGGUAAUGGCUUACCAAGCCGUUGAUCGGUACGGGUUGUGAGAGCAAGAGCCCGGAGAUGGAACCUGAGACAAGGUUCCAGGCCCUACGGGGUGCAGCAGGCGCGAAACCUCCGCAAUGUGAGAAAUCGCGACGGGGGGAUCCCAAGUACCAUUCUUAACGGGAUGGCUUUUCAUUAGUGUAAAGAGCUUUUGGAAUAAGAGCUGGGCAAGACCGGUGCCAGCCGCCGCGGUAACACCGGCAGCUCUAGUGGUAGCAAUUUUUAUUGGGCCUAAAGCGUCCGUAGCCGGUUUAAUAAGUCUCUGGUGAAAUCCUGUAGCUUAACUGUGGGAAUUGCUGGAGAUACUAUUAGACUUGAGACCGGGAGAGGUUAGAGGUACUCCCAGGGUAGAGGUGAAAUUCUGUAAUCCUGGGAGGACCGCCUGUUGCGAAGGCGUCUAACUGGAACGGUUCUGACGGUGAGGGACGAAAGUUAGGGGCGCGAACCGGAUUAGAUACCCGGGUAGUCCUAACUGUAAACGAUGCGGACUUGGUGUUGGGGUGGCUUUGAGCUGCUCCAGUGCCGAAGGGAAGCUGUUAAGUCCGCCGCCUGGGAAGUACGGUCGCAAGACUGAAACUUAAAGGAAUUGGCGGGGGAGCAC
This 791-nucleotide ribosomal RNA is filed under the name uncultured archaeon. RNAcentral describes it as "bacterial SSU rRNA". It matches the Rfam family "Archaeal small subunit ribosomal RNA", at positions 88 to 879 of the family's 1478-position model. The record is from RNAcentral.